AGCGGACGCUGGCGGCAGGCCUAACACAUGCAAGUCGAACGAACCUUUCGGGGUUAGUGGCGGACGGGUGAGUAACACGUGGGAACGUGCCUUUAGGUUCGGAAUAACUCAGGGAAACUUGUGCUAAUACCGAAUGCGCCCUUCGGGGGAAAGAUUAAUCGCCUUUAGAGCGGCCCGCGUCUGAUUAGCUAGUUGGUUGAGGUAAUGGCUCACCAAGGCGACGAUCAGUAGCUGGUCUGAGAGGAUGAUCAGCCACAUUGGGACUGAGACACGGCCCAAACUCCUACGGGAGGCAGCAGUGGGGAAUCUUGCGCAAUGGGCGAAAGCCUGACGCAGCCAUGCCGCGUGAAUGAUGAAGGUCUUAGGAUUGUAAAAUUCUUUCACCGGGGACGAUAAUGACGGUACCCGGAGAAGAAGCCCCGGCUAACUUCGUG
RNAcentral lists this ribosomal RNA (434 nucleotides) under uncultured bacterium. Its description in RNAcentral is "partial 16S ribosomal RNA". It matches the Rfam family "Bacterial small subunit ribosomal RNA", at positions 29 to 507 of the family's 1533-position model. The record is from RNAcentral.